GUAAGGACCGAGCGUUGUCCGGAAUCAUUGGGCGUAAAGGGUACGUAGGCGGCUAGAAAAGUUAGAAGUCAAAGGCUAUAGCUCAACUAUAGUAAGCUUCUAAAACUAUUUAGCUUGAGAAAUGGAAGGGAAAGUGGAAUUCCUAGUGUAGCGGUGGAAUGCGCAGAUAUUAGGAAGAAUACCGGUGGCGAAGGCGACUUUCUGGCCAUUAUCUGACGCUGAGGUACGAAAGCGUGGGUAGCAAACAGGAUUAGAUACCCUGGGUAGUCCACGCCGUAAACGAUGAGUGUUAGGUGUCUGGAGUCAAAUCUGGGUGCCGCAGCAAACGCAUUAAACACUCCGCCUGGGGAGUACGCACGCAAGUGUG
Molecule: ribosomal RNA, 367 nt
Filed under: uncultured organism
Description: partial 16S ribosomal RNA
Rfam family: Bacterial small subunit ribosomal RNA
Source: RNAcentral